GCCCAAAGUGGGUGGUUAACUCCAUCCAAGGCUUAAUACAAGCACGAGUCCGAUAGCGAACAAGUACCGUGAGGCAAAGUUGAAAAGUACUUUCAAGAGAGAGUAAACAGUCCGUGAAACCGCUCAGAGGUAAACGGGUGGAGUUGAACUGCAAGCUUUCAGGAUUCAGCUGGUGUACAUUGUUUGGGCUUGGUCAUAUUGGUUGUUGUCUGGGGUCUGCGAAGCAGCAGGUCACUGCCUUCGGGUGGGGAUGUGCGAGACACUUAUCAAGUGUUGUGCGCCCUGGAGCAAUCGAGCCAGUUCGUGAGUGCACUUUCUCAGAGUGGUCACGACGACCGGCAUUGCUGUCUGACUGUUGUGGUUAAACCGGUCUUGCUUUGGCCUCGUGUCUUUGCUUGGUCGGGAUGGCAGGUAGCCCGUUGGCUUGUCUGUGGUUCGGUGCAGGCGUUUGGCUUUCGGGUGUAAUCAGCUGACUAUGACGGUUCUGUGCGGUGUGUCGCAGACGGCGGCUUGUGGUGCGCGCAUGUGUUGCCUUGUGUCGGCGGGUCUGAGUCUGGUCGCUAUGUAGCUUGUUCAAGCAGGCCUGGUGAUGGCUCCGAUUCGUUCGGUGUUUGGUGGCGUGUGUCGUGCUGAUACCAGGGCCAAUAGUCUGUGGUGUAGUGGUAGAUUAUCCACCUGACCCGUCUUGAAACA
RNAcentral lists this ribosomal RNA (693 nucleotides) under Monostephanostomum mesospinosum. RNAcentral describes it as "partial large subunit ribosomal RNA". It matches the Rfam family "Eukaryotic large subunit ribosomal RNA", at positions 285 to 661 of the family's 3401-position model. The record is from RNAcentral. Lineage: Eukaryota; Metazoa; Platyhelminthes; Trematoda; Opisthorchiida; Acanthocolpidae.